AGAGUUUGAUCAUGGCUCAGGAUGAACGCUAGCUACAGGCUUAACACAUGCAAGUCGAGGGGAAACGACAUCGAAAGCUUGCUUUUGAUGGGCGUCGACCGGCGCACGGGUGAGUAACGCGUAUCCAACCUGCCCACCACUUGGGGAUAACCUUGCGAAAGUAAGACUAAUACCCAAUGACGUCUCUAGAAGACAUCUGAAGGAGAUUAAAGAUUUAUCGGUGAUGGAUGGGGAUGCGUCUGAUUAGCUUGUUGGCGGGGUAACGGCCCACCAAGGCGACGAUCAGUAGGGGUUCUGGAGAGGAAGGUCCCCCCANACUUGGAACUGGAGACACGGUCCAAACGUCCUACGGGAGGCA
Molecule: ribosomal RNA, 358 nt
Filed under: uncultured bacterium
Lineage: Bacteria
Description: bacterial SSU rRNA
Rfam family: Bacterial small subunit ribosomal RNA
Source: RNAcentral